CACAGUUCCAGCAAUGACGUGUCAGUUCGUGAUUGGCCAAAUUAAAAAAAAAACUCACUUGUUUCUCUCUCUCUCUCUCCAUCGGCGAGAGCCUGAGCCGAUGUCGAUGUAAAUUCAAGAGGAAUCGGCGGAGGUGAUCGAACGGCGAAAGCAGUCGUCGCCGAUCAGAUCACACAAGCCGUUAAUUCUACUGCUAAUCUUCUUCAACUGAUGCGUCAAUCGUCUUCUUCUCAGGUUUGUUUGAUGAAGACCUUUUGAGUUGAUUCUGAUAUAUAAAAUGGGGAUUUGGUGAAUAGUUUCAGACAUAUAUGCAACAGUUUCGUUGUUGUUCUUAACAGCUACGAAUCUUGGACUAGAACAGUCUCAUUUCACUUUCCUCAUCAUGGGACAAUAGUGUUUCAAGUCUGAACUCAAAUGGUGGCCAGGAGGGGCAGAAGAAAUAGCUUGGACUCCUCUGCAUCUAUGGGAACUAGAAGAUCGAAGAAGAAGCAGAUCAAAGUCACCUCUUUGAAGCCAUUGAAACUCAGAACUGAGGCAAAGAGGAAGCAAGUCUUGGAAUGCAUAAAUGGCAAAGAAGAAGCAAGUGUUGCAGAGUGUGUGUCAAGUAAAUAUAGUCAAGUGUUAUACACAAUUUUUUUCAAAAUUUAAAAUUUUAAGAACCUUCAAUGAUUCUACCAUUGGACUAUCCCAAAUUUAGAAGUAUCUAAAAUUCUAGUUUUGUGUUUUUUUCAAUUAUAAAAUAGAUAGAACCUCCAAACUUAAUGACCGUGCAGAACCACUUAAGCUAAUUUCAGACUUCCUCCCUUAUGCGGGUGGGUACUAAAUGACCGUGCAGAAGCAUUUACA
Molecule: long non-coding RNA, 846 nt
Organism: Camelina sativa (false flax)
Lineage: Eukaryota; Viridiplantae; Streptophyta; Magnoliopsida; Brassicales; Brassicaceae
Source: RefSeq, a predicted model, not a curated record